This is a long non-coding RNA of Micropterus salmoides (largemouth bass), 860 nucleotides long. RefSeq lists it as uncharacterized. NCBI's taxonomy places the organism in Eukaryota, Metazoa, Chordata, Actinopteri, Centrarchiformes, Centrarchidae. The record is from RefSeq and is a predicted model, not a curated record. The transcript is spliced from 2 exons.
GUCCUAUGUCUUUGUGUUUUUCCUUGUCUUUUCUCAGUUUUUCGUGGUCUCUUGUUGAGCUUCCCUGCCUGUCUCCUGUGCCUAUGAUUUUGGAUUUUGGAUUUUCUGCUUUUUGUUUUGACUGGAUUUUUGCAUGUACCCUUUUAGAUUUGUUUUCUUAUGUGGACUAGUUUUGUCCUGAGCUUGUCUGACUUCAGCAUAAGCCUUUUGUAUUUUUGAUUGCACUCAUUAAAAUCUUUGAAUUGUAUCUUCUUGGUCUACUAUCCUGCGUUUGGGUCCAUAUCCUUUUUUUCCUGUGUCUGCACUCGGCCAUUGUCACACUAGGCAGGCUCGGAGGCUGAGUCAGAGUGAAGAAACCCGACUGUGAUAACAUGUUACCAGCAGCCCUGAGCCCAGAACUGUGCCCUUUCUCCAUGCACAGUGCUGCCACCUUCCCUGGCUAUCUUGCUGUGCCCCCCCAGAGAUGACACUCCAUGGGGGGCUACAUGUCCAAUUACAGGCCUAACCCUGACCUUUUGUCUGAGGCUAUCCUCCCACCCUUGGCUUCCUGACUAGCUUGAUUUGACCAACCAAGCAGACCACAAGCCGUAGCCUCUGUCUCUGUGUGUUGUCCCUAUUUGCCACAGUACUGAGUGGAAAAUCAGGCAGAGGACCUCUGCCUAAUGCUUCCUGAUAGCUGUUAAUUCAAUAAGUGAGCAACCUUGCCUUUAUUUGCCCUUGUGGUGAGAGUAAAUGGAGUUCUGAGUAGGGAAGAGAGAGACACAGUGCCAGAGAAGGUAUUUUGGAAAUAGUAUUUCUUAAAGGGGUGAUAUGUAGGUUUUCAAUGAAAUCAUUUUUUGAUAAAUCACCUUUUUACUCCC